Molecule: long non-coding RNA, 680 nt
Filed under: Homo sapiens (human)
Lineage: Eukaryota; Metazoa; Chordata; Mammalia; Primates; Hominidae
Description: HSALNT0185206
Source: RNAcentral
AUGAGGGCGAGGCCUGGGGUAGGGCCAGGAUAAGCCUCACUGGGGCAGGUCCUGGGUAGAGACCAGGUUGGCGGGUCUUGGGGCGGGGCCAGGAUAGGGCGAUCCUGGAAGCUGGGCUUCGGAAGCGUCCAGCUGUUGUUCCACACCAGAACCAAAUGAGCGCAAGAUCUGACAAAGAAAAAAAAAGGUUCAUCUUUUAUUCCUCCAAACACUUUCAUUUAAAUCAAGAGGAUGGGAUGUGGUUAUUGCUGUGUUUUUAGGCAGAAUCAACGGUUUCUGGGUCUGAGAUGGUGCAUACACCCUCUCAGUCCCUGUAUCCUGAGAUGGAGUCACCUAAGAAUCCACAGCAAGUCCUAACCAGGGAUGGGUCUGGGUGAUUAAGGAAGGUUGGCUUCAGAACUGGGCCAGGGGCACUGCUUUGCUUUUGCUGUUUUGAUCAGCUCUCUGCCUGCAGGAGACAAGGAAAACCAAUGGGAACAGCCCAGUAAAGUCGCCAUUCCCCAUUUUACAGCUGGGGAAACUGAGUUACAGAGCUUUUCUGCACUGAGUCAUCAGGAGCAAAUGCUAGAUCAGGCCAGAGUGCAGUUGACGCAGGGCAGGGGAGCCCCGAAGUGGAGCAUAGCGUGUCCGGAACUGGUGGGUUCUUGGUCUCACUGACUUCAAGAAUGAAGCCGCGGACC